Molecule: unclassified non-coding RNA, 232 nt
Filed under: Hevea brasiliensis (rubber tree)
Lineage: Eukaryota; Viridiplantae; Streptophyta; Magnoliopsida; Malpighiales; Euphorbiaceae
Source: RNAcentral
CGGUUGCGGAAGGCGUCGAGGCAUGGCGCGCGCCACUCGUGGCAAGUGGUGACCUGUUGCCGAUGAAGGCAUCGCUGUUUCUGAGCCAGAUUAUCGGACCCGCUCAGUUCGUGUGCCGCUCGUGGCUGUCGGGCCGCGAUCCCACCGAUCCGCGCCAUCAUGCCGAUGCGCUGAUCGCAUGCGCAAUUCGCGCGCUGACUGCGAAGGGAGGCCGAUAAUGCUUCAGACAGAU